This 497-nucleotide ribosomal RNA is filed under the name uncultured bacterium. RNAcentral describes it as "partial 16S ribosomal RNA". It matches the Rfam family "Bacterial small subunit ribosomal RNA", at positions 28 to 507 of the family's 1533-position model. The record is from RNAcentral.
GAUGAACGCUGGCGGCGUGCCUAAUACAUGCAAGUCGAGCGAACAGACGAGGAGCUUGCUCCUCUGACGUUAGCGGCGGACGGGUGAGUAACACGUGGAUAACCUACCUAUAAGACUGGGAUAACUUCGGGAAACCGGAGCUAAUACCGGAUAAUAUAUUGAACCGCAUGGUUCAAUAGUGAAAGACGGUUUUGCUGUCACUUAUAGAUGGAUCCGCGCCGCAUUAGCUAGUUGGUAAGGUAACGGCUUACCAAGGCGACGAUGCGUAGCCGACCUGAGAGGGGGGUCGGCCGCACUGGAACUGAGACACGGUCCAGACUCCUACGGGAGGCAGCAGUAGGGAAUCUUCCGCAAUGGGCGGAAGCCUGACGGAGCAACGCCGCGUGAGUGAUGAAGGUCUUCGGAUCGGAAAGCUCUGUUAUUAGGGAAGAACAAAUGUGUAAGUAACUAUGCACGUCUUGACGGUACCUAAUCAGAAAGCCACGGCUAACUACGUG